GUCUAUGGCAUGCCACCCUGAACACGCCUGAUCCUGUCUGAUCUCGGAAGCUAAGCAGGGUCAGGCCUAGUUAGUAUUUGAAUGGGAGACCACCUAGGAAGACCGGGUGCUGUAGGCA
This 118-nucleotide ribosomal RNA is filed under the name Pteropus alecto (black flying fox). Lineage: Eukaryota; Metazoa; Chordata; Mammalia; Chiroptera; Pteropodidae. The record is from RNAcentral.